AUUGAACGCUGGCGGCAUGCCUUACACAUGCAAGUCGAACGGCAGCACGGGUGCUUGCACCUGGUGGCGAGUGGCGAACGGGUGGGUAAUACAUCGGAACAUGUCCUGUAGUGGGGGAUAGCCCGGCGAAAGCCGGAUUAAUACCGCAUACGAUCCACGGAUGAAAGCGGGGGACCUUCGGGCCUCGCGCUAUAGGGUUGGCCGAUGGCUGAUUAGCUAGUUGGUGGGGUAAAGGCCUACCAAGGCGACGAUCAGUAGCUGGUCUGAGGGGACGACCAGCCACACUGGGACUGAGACACGGCCCAGACUCCUACGGGAGGCAGCAGUGGGGAAUUUUGGACAAUGGGCGAAAGCCUGAUCCAGCAAUGCCGCGUGUGUGAAGAAGGCCUUCGGGUUGUAAAGCACUUUUGUCCGGAAAGAAAUCCUUGACUCUAAUACAGUCGGGGGAUGACGGUACCGGAAGAAUAAGCACCGGCUAACUACGUG
Molecule: ribosomal RNA, 486 nt
Filed under: uncultured bacterium
Lineage: Bacteria
Description: partial 16S ribosomal RNA
Rfam family: Bacterial small subunit ribosomal RNA
Source: RNAcentral